GCAGUCGGCCGGGCGACCGCUGCGCCCGGCGCGGUGCGCCGCGCCGGACGGGGAGGAAAGUCCGAACUCCGCAGGGCAGUGCGCCGGGUAACCCCCGGUCAGGGUGACCUGAAGGAAAGUGGCACAGAAAACAUACCGCCGCCGGCGCUUCCGGGCGCGGGCCGGUAAGGGUGAAAAGGUGCGGUAAGAGCGCACCGCGUUCCCUGCAAGGGGAAUGGCAGGCUAAACCCCGCACGGAGCAAGACCAAAUAGGGAGGCGCCCGAGAGCGGCCCGCUCGAAGCCUCCGGGUAGGUUGCUGGAUCCCGUCAGCAAUGGCGGGGCUAGAGGAAUGGUCGUCACCGCGGCCGGGUGACUCGUCACGCGGGCGCGGUACAGAAUUCGGCUUACGGCCGGUCUGCGGCG
This 403-nucleotide RNase P RNA is filed under the name Acidobacteriota bacterium. RNAcentral's name for it is "Acidobacteria bacterium RNase P RNA component class A". It matches the Rfam family "Bacterial RNase P class A". Rfam says of the family: Ribonuclease P (RNase P) is a ubiquitous endoribonuclease, found in archaea, bacteria and eukarya as well as chloroplasts and mitochondria. The record is from RNAcentral. Lineage: Bacteria; Pseudomonadati; Acidobacteriota.